RNAcentral lists this ribosomal RNA (783 nucleotides) under uncultured Neocallimastigales. RNAcentral describes it as "partial large subunit ribosomal RNA". It matches the Rfam family "Eukaryotic large subunit ribosomal RNA", at positions 22 to 642 of the family's 3401-position model. The record is from RNAcentral. Lineage: Eukaryota; Fungi; Neocallimastigomycota; Neocallimastigomycetes; Neocallimastigales.
CAUAGCGACUAUCGUGGCAUAUCAAUAAGCGGAGGAAAAGAAACUAACAAGGAUUCCCUAGUAACGGCGAGUGAAGCGGGAAGAGCUCAAAUUUGAAAUCUUAAAGGUUUUCCCUUGACGAAUUGUAGUUUAAAGAAGUGUUUUCUGUUGGAGUUUUGGUAAAAGUUCUUUGGAAUAGGACAUCAUAGAGGGUGAGAAUCCCGUAUUUGAUCACGUUAUUUCGCUAAGUGUGAUACACUUUCAAAGAGUCGGAUUGUUUGGGAAUACAGUCCAAAAUGGGUGGUAAAUUUCAUCUAAAGCCUAAAUAUUGGCGAGAGACCGAUAGCGAACAAGUACCGUGAGGGAAAGAUGAAAAGAACUUUGAAAAGAGAGUUAAACAGUACGUGAAAUUGUCAAAAGGGAAGCGUUUGACACCAGUGUUGUUUAGUUGAAAAUCAAUUUAAAUAAUUUUCGAUUUUAAGUAGUAUUGACUUCAUCAGCUUGCUGCUUUUUUCUCGGAAAUUAUUUAAUGCACUUUUCAGUUAACAAGUCAACAUCAAUUUCUUUUGUUGUAAAAGGGUAAGAGGAAGGUGGCUUACGCUUCGGCGUCAAGUGUUUAUAGCCUUUUACCUCUGCAAUCGGAGAGAUUGAGGUACAUGCAGCGUAGACUCCUUCGGGGGUUAGAUACACUUGUGCUAAGCUAUAGCUUUGUAUAGACAACUUGUUGACUAUGAUUAGUCAUUGUAGCUUACUCGCUUAUGCUAUUUUACCUACGCUUAGGAUGUUGAUAGUCACAGCGUGUAC